This 16895-nucleotide long non-coding RNA is filed under the name Brachypodium distachyon (stiff brome). Its description in RNAcentral is "long non-coding RNA (BDIS_LNC001799)". The stretch from base 14316 to 14440 matches the Rfam family "MIR1120/MIR1122 microRNA precursor family". Lineage: Eukaryota; Viridiplantae; Streptophyta; Magnoliopsida; Poales; Poaceae. The record is from RNAcentral.
UUGUUGUUGACGGGGUCAGCAAGGUGGUCAGCGAGGUUCUCGAGCAGGCCUUUGCCUGUGACGAUGGCCUGUACGAAGAAGCCGAACAUGGAAAACAGCAAGGCGGCCAUUCUUGAGCUCCUUUACCUUGAGCUCGGCGAAUGCCUCUAGGUCAUCAGCCAAGCCGAGUGGGUCGAAGCUACUGCCGGGGUAGAGAGGGUCAACGAUCUCACCAAGCGGGCCACCGGCAACACGGUAUCCCUCAACGGUGCCCAUGAGCACAACCUGGCAAGCCCAUAUGGCCAGGAUGCUCUGCGCAUGGACAAGGCUCGGGUUGCCGAGGUAGUCAAGGCCACCCUCACUGAAGAUCUAGGAGCCGGCCUUGAACCAGACGGCCUCGCCGAACUUCACGCCAUUGUGAGCGAGAAGCUCAGGGAAGACACAACCGAGGGCACCAAGCAUGGCCCAGCGGGAAUGGAUCACCUCCAACUCCCUGUUCUUGGCAAAGGUCUCAAGAUCAGGGUCUCAAGAUCAGCCGAGAGCCCGGCGGUGUCCCACCCGUAGUCACCAGGAAACUCACCGGUCAGGUAGCUCGGGGGCUCGUCAGAGAGCGGGCCGAGGUACAACACGCGGUCAGAGCCGUACCACGGGCUACCCGAGGACACCGGCUUGGCCUUGGCAGCGGUCUUCCGCAUGGUGACCCGGGCCUCGCCGAAGAGAGCUGCCGACGGCAGGUUCUUCACCGUAUUGCCGGCAAAGGCCGAGGAAGAAAGAGACAUGGUGGUGGCCGCCAUUGCACUUGCUUUUAAGACCGGUGGUUGCUGACCUCCGUGCUCUCCAAUAGUAUUGGAUGAGUGUGAAGAACUGGAGAUGGUAUCAGAAGAGAGGAGGAUGGAGCUAGUUAAAGGAGUGAGAAAGAACGGAGGGGAUUGCCCGGUACGGUGCUGGCAAGGGGGAGAGAGCCUGAAAAAUCUGAAGCUGCGUUGCCAUUGGUGCACAGUUGGCGCAGCAAGGGCCUCAUGUGGAUAUACGAUAAAGUUGUGGGUAGGGCUAAGAGGAGUCCCCGUGGAGAUGUGUGAUUGGGCUGAGUUUGAUGAACAAUCGCACAGGGACACAAGUGAUUUGCGCUGCAUAAACUGUCAUAGCUAUUCUGAUCCGCUUUAUUUGCUUCUUAUACAGACUCUGUAAACUUGGCCUGUACUAGCUAACUGACGCCUAAAUGAAAAUGAAAAUACCAGACAGAACGAGUCUUACUGACGUGCCAUCCCACGGUGUUGAUCGUGUCCUGGUCAUGCCGCCAUUGACGCUUGAUUCGUGCCAUCCCACGAAGCAGUCAAAGGCGGCGCACUAAAGCAGCUGACUAACAAGUAGUGACUCAGGCAAGACCGCAAGACACGAACAAACACGUGCCAGAUGCCUGUUUAUUCAGUUACUGAACUUACUGAAGAAAAAUGACACCGACAACAACAUUACGGUGAACAGUACAUUAAGUAUUACUGCUUAUUCAUUAUUGCUUUGUGGUCAUUGUCUUUUGACGUUUUCUGUGGAAUACCUAUUUUUAAUUUCUCUCUUCCUCAUGAUUAGUAUGACGCAAUAAGUUAAUGGAAAUGAUUCAGGGAUAUGAGACUGUAAUUGUUCAAGGAGAUUAUUGGGUUGGUAAUUCAGGAUAUUUUUGAUACGAUGAUUCUUUCCAUUCUUAGUUUGUUUCAUGGUAAACGACCAAUUAGUGAAAGUGACCUCUUAAUGAGGGCCUCGUUUUCAUAUAUACACAUGUCGAAAAGCUGGUGGGUAGAUCUUGUGGUAAUAGACAUGAUCCUCUAGUUUUUAACUCUGAGUUUAUGUAUUCUAUAUCCGACAAUUGGCGGCGUGCUCAGUUUUGUAUGCGAUUGGUAAGCACAUGUCAUUGGUUACAAUAAGUGCAAAACAUACGUCAGAGAGUAUUGUUCUGAUAAAAUACCAAAUGGCUAGAUGCAGAAUAUCAGAGAGUAAAGUGGCCUUCGAAUCAAACAAUCUUUUUCAUGAGAUCCUCGUUGUAUACAUCAUCAUCAUGGUAGUACAAAUCACACCAGCUAUCCACACUUCAUAGUUGCAUGGUCGAUCUCGUUGACUACUUGCCGGGGACGAAGUUGGUGGCGAAGGCCCACGCAUUGUUGUUGACAGGGUCAGCAAGGUGGUCGGCGAGGUUCUCAAGUGGGCCCUUGCCGGUGACAAUGGCCUGUACAAAGAAGCCGAACAUGGAGAACAUGGCGAGACGGCCAUUCUUGAUCUCCUUCACCUUGAGCUCUGCGAAUGCCUCGGGGUCGUCGGCAAGGCCGAGUGGGUCAAAGCUGCCGCCGGGGUAGAGAGGGUCAACGAUCUCGCCGAGCGGGCCACUGGCAACACGGUAUCCCUCGACGGCGCCCAUGAGAACGACCUGGCAGGCCCAAAUGGCGAGGAUGCUCUGGGCAUGGACGAGGCUCGGGUUGCCGAGGUAGUCAAGGCCCCCCCUCAGUGAAGAUCUGAGAGCCGGCCUUGAACCAGACGGCCUCGCCGAACUGAACACCAUUGCGGGCGAGAAGCUCAGGGAAGACGCAACCGAGCGCGCCAAGCAUGGCCCAACGACAGUGGAUCACCUCAAGCUCGCGGUUCUUGGCAAAGGUCUCGGGGUCCGCUGAGAGCCCGGCGGUGUCCCACCCAUAGUCGCCGGGAAACUCACCGGUUAGGUAACUCGGGGGCUCGCCAGAGAGCGGGCCGAGGUACAGCACACGGUCGGAGCCGUACCACGGGCUGCUCGAGGAGAUUGGCUUGGCCUUGGCGGCGGUCUUGCGCAUGGUGCCCCGGCCUCACCGAAGAGAGUCGAUGACGGCAUGUUCUUCACCGUCUUGCCAGCGAAGGCCGAAGAAGAGAGAGACAUGGUAGUGGCUGCCAUUGCGCUAGCUCUUAAAACGGUGGUGGUCGAACUCUAUGCUUCUAAUAGUAUUCUGUGAGUGUGAAGGACUGAAGAUGGAUUCAGAAGGGAGGAGGAGGGAGCUACUUAAAGAAGUGAGAAGAGAAGACAGAGGGAAUUGAUCUGUGCUGGCAAGAGAGACACAGCCUGAGAAAUCUGAUGCCACCAUCUCAUUGGUGCAGCGGCCAUCCGGGUACAGUUGGCGCAGGGACAUCCUCAAGGGGAUGGGAUAUAGUCGUGGGUAGGGCUUGGGGAUUCUGCAUGUGCACUACAAUUUGUUGUACAACUAAUAAGUUAUUGAGUUUAAUCAGUUAUUGAGGAUUCUGCAUGUGCACUUACAAUUUGUUGUACAACUAAUAAGUGUUAAUUUGCUUCCUCCGAAGGUAAUAGUCAAAAGAAGUUUUUUGUUGGUAAACUGAUAGUAAACAUGCUCGAUCAACAUGUAUUGUCCACAUAUGGAGUUAAAAAUGAAUUAGCCAGUCGUGGGGCCAUAAUUUAGCCUUUGCUCAUGUACAUAGUAACUUUAUAUAAUCCGUGCUUUUAUAGUAUUGACCGUGACGGGGUGAAACCAGAUGGCACGAUCCACCUGUAAGAACAAAAGGAUUCGGGUUAAAAGCUUUAGUGGGAUCAUUAGUGACUGAACUUUUGCUAAAUGGGGUCAAAAAAGAAAUCACACUAAAUGAAACCAAAGCUGUAAGAAACAUAAAUUGAGGGGUCAAAAAAUAGAAUUCACUCUUUUAUGAACGUGUGAGGAAAGAAAUUAUUUCAUAAUUAAUGAAAAUAAAAGUCAGCGGAAUGGGGAACAUUGUUACGCGAGGUUAUUGGGUUUGAGUAAUUUAGAUGAUUGUUUUUAAUCUUUGCUUGUAUAAUAAAAACAUCAUUUUUAUUUUGGCGUGCAGAAAAGAUGACAGAUAGAUCUUGUGAUCACAGAUAUGAUGCUCUAAUUGUUGCCUCUGAGUUUCUGUAUUCUAUAUCCGGGAAGCAGCCCCAUGCGUGCCCUGCAAAAUUAGUAUGACUAAGAUUGUUAUUUUUGUAUAUACUUCCUUGUUAAUUGGGAUCUUUCUUAUCGACCAAAUCACCUAAUCCCAUCAAAAUUCUUUUAUGUCCUUUUCAUUGGCCUGGGUAUUUCUAGAUUUUGUAGUUAGUUCUGGAAUAUCCAUCCCUGAAAAAGGAAUGCGGUACACGUCAUUUUUACGGUAAGUUUGUUCACUUCCACGAGAGUAUGUAUUGCUCUGAUAAAACAUUGGGGGACAUCACAAAGUGUCUACUUCAAAAUCUGACAAUCUUUUGUUCAUAAGAUCCUCGUAAUUAAUUUACAUCAUCAUCGUGGUAGUACAAGUGAAACCAGCUACACACACUUGGUCGCGAGCAUAGUCGAUUUGCAUAUACACAUGUGCCUCUCAUUGACACCUUACUUGCCGGGAACGAAGUUGGUGGCAAAGGCCCACGCGUUGUUGUUGACGGGGUCGGCAAGGUGGUCAGCGAGGUUCUCAAGGGGACCCUUGCCGGUGACGAUGGCCUGAACGAAGAAGCCGAACAUGGAGAACAUGGCGAGGCGGCCGUUCUUGAUCUCCUUCACCUUGAGCUCAGCGAACGCCUCAGGGUCGUCAGCCAAGCCAAGGGGGUCGAAGCUGCCGCCGGGGUAGAGAGGGUCGACGAUCUCACCGAGCGGACCACCAGCAACACGGUACCCCUCGACGGCGCCCAUGAGCACGACCUGGCAAGCCCAGAUGGCGAGGAUGCUCUGGGCAUGGACGAGGCUCGGGUUGCCAAGGUAGUCGAGGCCGCCCUCGCUGAAGAUCUGGGAGCCGGCCUUGAACCAGACGGCCUCGCCAAACUUGACGCCGUUGCGGGCAAGCAGCUCGGGGAAGACGCAACCGAGCGCGCCGAGCAUGGCCCACCUGCAGUGGAUCACCUCCAGCUCCCGGUUCUUGGCGAAGGUCUCGGGGUCAGCCGAGAGCCCGGCGGUGUCCCACCCGUAAUCGCCGGGGAACUCACCGGUCAGGUAGCUCGGGGGUUCGCCGGAGAGCGGGCCGAGGUACAACACGCGGUCGGAGCCGUACCACGGGCUGCCUGAGGAGACCGGCUUGGCCUUGGCAACGGUCUUGCGCAUGGUGAUGCGGGCCUCUCCGAGCGCCGGCAGGUUCUUCACCGCCUUCCCGGCGAAGGUCGAGGAGGAGAGGGCCAUGGUGGCGGUCGCCAUUGAUGUACUGCUGUACCGUGCUCUCCUAAGAGUGUGAGGCUGGCUCUGGUGUGCGUGGAGAUGGUUUGAGAUGGGCAGAGGAGGUAGCUAUUUAACGGUGCUCUGUGGGUACAGAGAAGGGAAGAUGAUGAGAGAGAUGGCUAGAAAAAUCUGAAGCUGGGAUGCCAUUGGUGGAGUGGAGAUAUCGGCACAGUUGGCGCAGCGAGAGCCUCAAGCCGGUGGAGAUAGCUCAGACUUGCCAUGUGGAGAGGGGCUAUUGGGUGCCGUUGAUUUUCUCGUGGCUGAGGAUAUUGAUGUCGCUGAUAUUUUUUACUCGGACUGGAAGUUGCUGUUUUAGCCGUCAGAAGCUGUUAAAAAACGGAAACGUCGUGAAGGGGAUUGAUCGCCUCGUCUUGUGUCGUGUAUGUUUAGCAGUUGUUGUUUUCACUGUAUUUUCUUGGUCCUCACCGUAUCGUGCGUGGAUGUCGGUAAGAACCUGUAGAAAUGAAAUUCGUGUGCUUCUGCUUCUGAACCGAAACUGCGUAGUGCCAGCUACUGGAGACUGGGACUGGAGGGUGCAGGCUUGAGACGGCGUCAGUUUUGGGCCUAGUGAAACCACGAGGAGGCAUGCCUCCGCGCUCAAGCAGCCAUGGGCCUCAUUGUACUGGGUUGCGCAGCCUUUCAGAGUGGGCCGGAAGCAGGUAGAGUGCGGCUCGUUAUCUCCAGAUACGCAGCAGCCCGUCGCCCCGUCCUCAAACCGUCUAGUCAAAGGAAAAAAAAAGUCCUCAGAUGAGUCCAUCGUGCAGACAUUGGACUCUAGCUGCUCCCACCGGAUCACCGCAAAACCAAAACGAAAAACCCACGGUACCGAUCGACCUGGGCCUGCGGUACAACCAAAGCCCAAAAAGGAACCCACGGAGCGGAGCCGCCCGGGCCCUGCACGCUAUAGCAAGCAACAUCGUCCGUCCGUUUACUUUCCGAGGCCCACCUUUCCCACAGCUCAGAUCCAAAGGAAUCACACGCGCCCGAGCUCUUGAGAAUUCCAGAUCACGCAAGGGCAGCAAGGCGGCCACCGCACGGCACGGCAGUCGGCAGGCAACGCCCUUCCCGCCGUUCCGUCCGUUGGUUCCCGGGCGGGAACGUGCGCCCCCUCGUGAUCCGGCUUUUGCUUGCCCACACGCACUCCCGAGUACUCCCGGCCCGACUCAAUUAUCUUCGUCGCCUCGCUUGUCCCAUCGCUUCUCUCGCUGUCACAACCCAGUCCCUUCCGGAACGCCAAAACAGUCCAACCAACUUCGUCUUCCAGAGCUCAGCCAGCCAGCCGGCCACCACCAAGCACCAACGCCGCCCGUCCCCGCUGCUACCAUGUCCAUGUCGCUGCGCCUCGCUCUCCCCUCGUCAGCGCCCGUGCUCCCGCCGCGGGUGCCGCUGCCCGCCGGGAAUGCCGCCCGUCGCCCCUCACCCUCCCCGGUCCUCGCCACCGCCGCCGCCGCCUUGCGGACGGGCGCGCUCAGGUGGGUUCCUCUGUCCUCGCCCGGGUUUCGCGCCUGCACUGACGCCCGCGUAAUCGGCCUCGUGCUCAUGGUGAUGCGUGACUGUAUGUAUGCAGGGGAUGCGCUUCGCUGCCGCUGAAGCCGCAGCCGCCGGGCAUGAUGAUCACGGGCGCGGGCGCGGGGCGCCGGGGGUCCGCCGCCGUGUGCCGCGCGUCGUCGGCGUACCUCAGCCCGACCACCAUGCACUGGGUCUCCGCCGCGGCCACCGCGUGAGUGCCCCCCCUCCCUCACUCAAAAGUACUCUGCCUUUUUGGGUUCACCAGCUCGGCAACUGUUCGCUCUUUUGCCUGCGAGGACCGUGGCUAACUGCUAGCAUCCGACUGUAAAAUGCGGGAUCCUCGUUAUAGAUUCUGCGGUCUGUUGAUGUCGCUUGCUCAAAAAUUUCAUGGCACGCUACAGCGACAAUUGGAGUACUACUUACUUUUCUUGAUCAAUGAUCACGCGCUGCUAAUCUUUCUAUAUAGCGAGUAAAAAGGACAUCAUGCGAUGCAAAAAUAUAUGAAUGCAGAGCACCAAGGUAAUCUUUCUUCUGUAGCUGUCGAUGUCGUGACUUGAAAUAGCACCACUACUUGUUUUCUUCUUGAGGAUGAAUAGGCAUGUAAAGUUGAACACAACACAAAGUACUUUCUGCAAACUCAGCUAGUGCUGCUGCCUGGUGAAAAGUUGUGCUGUGCAGUUUAUUUGGGUUUUCAGUGAAGUGAAAUGAUUUAGAUCGCCACGUAAAUACAGUGUUAAACUCCCAGUACCCUUUAAUGAUUUAAUGAUUGUUCUUUUUGCAGGGUGCUCUUGCUUGCUAAAGGCACAGGCAUACACAAAUCUUUCCUCGUGCCCCUGUUUGCUCUUCAAGCACCUAGCAGUGUGGUCUCAUGGAUCAAGUAAGAUGCUGCUAUUUGGUGCAGAGAAUUAUCUAUACCUUUUCCUUCUCUUUGUUUCUCAUUGAUGUUUGUUCGUUUUAAAAUAAGAACACUGUCUUGAGGGCCUACUUAUUCUAUGGCAUCAAUUCCUAAUUUUAGGAGUGACUAUGGACUGUGGACUGCUUUUCUUGCUCUUUUGGUGCGCUUGUUCUUCUCCAUUCCAGGUAGUGUAAAAUAAGAUUCAUCAUAUAAAGGUUCAAGAUGGUGUAGGCUUACAGUUACUUUAUACCUUCAUAUCACUAUCACAGGUGAACUGGAGCUCCCAUUAUCAGCAAUGCUGCUUCUGAACGUUGCUCCUUACCAGAUGAUGAAUCUGAGGUACAUCACAGUAUCACAUUGCACUGUUUGGAAAUAAGAUCUUAGCAUCACUAGAACUAGUGCAUCUGUCAAAAUUGAAUUCUAUGAAAAUAUCACCAUGGCAUUAUUAAUAACUCGUAUUAAUAUAUCGAUGUUCUCAAUGAAACUAACUUGAGUUACCAUCUCGCUAUCAUGUUUCUGUACACUACUGUGUCAUAUGUGAAUAGCAGCAAGUACAUCCAACUGACUAUUCAGGAACCACUCCAUAGAGUAUUUUAGGUUUUCAGUUUAUGUCCUGAUUCUGAAAAUUGUCAUUUACCUUUUUGCUCAUGUGCUCACUUUCCAUGUACAGGGGAACUCAAGGUGGUGCGAUAGUGUCUCUGGCACUAGCAGCGUAUCUUGCCUUUCAGCACUUCACCCGGGCCGGAGGUUUGGGGAGAGCCUUUGAUCAGGGAUCGAUAAUUGCGACCUUGGCCAUCAUCUGCGUCACAGUUAUCAACGUGAUCCUGCUGUUCUGAGUUGGAUCAAGUUGGCAAGAGUUCGCUGCCCCUCAUUGUAGGUGUGGAGGGGGAGCAGGAGGUACUCAGGAGUGCAGAUAAAUAAAACCUUGUAAUGCAUCAUCCUGACAGACUUCCAAGCCCGUUUCAUCGUAAUAAGAAUCUUUACUGCUACUUAACUUGCAGUUGCGUCCGUGGUGGCUCGUACGUCGUCCCAACUUCACAGAAAUUACGUCUCUAUGCCACCGUCCGAACUCCGAUUUGUUUCUUCUCUUUCGUGUUCUCGUGUCUCGCCCAGCCCGCUGCCCACGCGCCACCGCUCCUCCUGCCCUGCGCGCCGCUGCCACCACCCACCUGCCUCUCCUCGCGCUCCUCCUCUGCUCGCACCGCCACCGCCCCGAUCUCUCUCUGCCAGCGUUGUCUCCUCCUCCUCCUCGCACACACCCGCCCAGAUCCACCUCCACCUCCUCGCACACGGCCCGCCCUGAUCCACCUUCUCCUCGCGCGAGGCCGAGGAGCGCGAGGAGGAGGCCGAGAUGCGCGCCGAGGCUGCCGCCCGCCAGGCCGAGAUCCGCCUCCUCCUCAUUGUGCUGCCGCCGUGGGAGAGCCGUCCUCCGCCGCGCCGCGUCCCCGUGACGCCACCUGCUCUCCCCCUUCUCAACGCAUCGAGUGCCCGAUGCCGCCAGCCGAGGCAAGGGUGCUCGAGACGUCCGCGAUGACUGCUUCGAAGUGGGAGGCAUCAAUAUUGUGUGGUAAGGUGAGUUCUCGAUUACUGCUUCCCCAUCCUCUUGUGUAGAAAAAUCUUUGUUUCACUAUUCUUUGAUAAGUAUGUGUGAGUGUGUCUUAAUGGUUUCUUCUGUUGGCUCUUUGUAGACUCUAGCUCUUUGUAAUCUUUUGUGCUUUAUGGAAUCCAGUAGAAAAAUCGGCAUUAGGCUGAUUUUAACUGAUAUUUCAAUCUCUUUCAUGCCUUUUAUGUUUGUAUUUUCCUGAUUACUAAUGGUUCACUAGCGUCAAUUCCAUCCGGUUAUUUAAUCAAACAAUAGCAUCUGUAUCAUUGUUUUCUCUUUCACUUUUGCUUGUUUUAUUAGUCUGUCCUAUAUGUGCUAAUGCUAGAGCUUGAAGUCUCUGCUACUGGAUAUUGGCAUUGAAAGAGCAACAGGAAUUGUCUGGUCUAUCACUGGAGGCAAUGAUAUAACUUUGGUGGAGGUAUUCCUGACGUGUGUGUUUUUUCUGCAUAUAAACUACAGUGUGUGUGGGUAUACAUAGCUACCAUCAAAGUUUGUUUCCUACAUGUUAGUGAGAAUCGAAAAUUGCUGGCUUUCAUAGCUCCCUGAAAGUUAAUACAUUUUGAUCCAAUUGGAUAUAUGUGUGAAGUUAUAUGUGAACUGAAUCCAGUAUUAUUGAUUCACUUUCAGGUGAAUGCAUCAGCUGAAGUUAUAUAUGAUCUUGUUUUUCUUUUUUGAGGGAUUAUAUAUGAUCUUGUUGAUCCUAUUACAAAUAUGAUAUUUGGCUCUGUUUUAGACCCAUCAUAUGCUGGUCAAGUAAGUUAACAAAGCAUUUGGUCAAGUAAGUUGACUUGUCAUAUGAAAUCUCAUCUUUUGACUGUACAGCCUGAACUUCUAAUACAACGGCAUCCAUGCGGGGAAGAUGAAUAUGUGAAGUCAGUGGCCGAGUUAAUUGAGAAGGAGCUAUCAAUUUUUACAAAUUCUGAAGAGGUCUGUGCAUUCCCUUCUCCCUCUUUUUGUUUUUCCUUUACUAUUUUUUGUUCAUCAAAUGACUUUCUAUUCGAUUUUUGGUAAAGUAGAAGGUAACAACUGUUGUAGAUUGAACAUUAUCUUAGUGUUAGGCAUCCUGUUGAAUAUCUCUUAAAUAAGUAUCCCAUCUACUGAAUGAUCUAUCUGCGGUCCGUCCUGGCAUUCAUUUGCUUGUCUCCUUUUGUGAUGAUGCAGCGAAUUGAGGAAUCAACAGAUGAUUUUUUUCUGUAUUACAUUUAGUUGCUCUUUGCAUGAUUCCUUUUUUUUACCAGCUUUGCAUGAUUCUUUUGGCAUGGAUGUUGACUGGGAGAUGAAAAAUAUACUUCAUCCAGGUUGAAAAGACAAACAUGGUUCUCCUACUGUGCUCCGUUUUCCAUAUUGUCGUAAUAACACCAAUAUACUGAUAACUAAACCCACUAGAGAGAAAUGUUUAUUAUAAAUGUUUUAAGUUUAAUUCGCUAAACAAUCUGAAAAUUAUGUACAAUCUGUAUAAGUUGAGAUAUAUUAGAAUAGUUUGAUGAGCUAUCAUAACGAUCCAUCUUAAUUAGGACCAAGACUUUAGCUGGUUACCUAGGUUACCUGUAGUCAAAAUUGUUUAAGGCAAAUUGUAUCAAGGUUUGAUGGUUAGAUUGACACUCCAAUUGUUUCUGUUCAUAGAUCUAUCAUCUACAAAUACUUCUUGUGUUGCAGGUUAUGAGCUAUGGCAAUCUUCGUAGAGUUCAAAUGUUGUGGUUCGAUACAGAACAGAAAAAAGAAGUCUCUUUUCCUCUCAAGAUGAGAGUAAGUAUCGGCAAAAAAUAAUAAUCUCUUCGUAGCGAUGCAAUUUCUUAUCACUCAGUCAUGAUGCAUAUAAGAGUAAGGGGAAUGGGCUGAUUUUGUGUAUAUUCUACAUUUUACUUUUCAGUAGUAAUUAGAUGAUUUAUGAUUUUCUUACAUCUCUCAAGGGAAGAUGUUGAGGGAGACCAUAAGGACACUACACAUUAUGUUGCGAAGAUAAUAUUGCUUUCCUGCUCUUAACACAGGACACCAGAGCAUGCAUUACAAAAUAAAUAUUCGAUGAGGUAUGGACGGUUGUCUUGAUGUGUUUAAUUUUGCAUUCUUUCCAAUAAUUUUGUUGGAGAACACGAGUGUCUUGACUUGUUUCGGUACUCCAACAUGGAUGCUUUGUGAUAUUUACAAUUGUGAGAAGAGGAUCCAUGGCCAAGUUCUUCGAUAAUAAUCGUUCAUGUGGAAUUUUGGAUUGUAUAUUGGUCCAUUGUAUUUUUUUUCCUCUCAUAUUGUCACAAUUAUUGAUUAUAUGACUUGGACUAUGUACAUGUUCAUAAGCAGUGGUGUCUCCUUAUCUGAUGAGGAUGACCAUGCAUCAAUUUUUCAUGUUUGUCAUUCUUCUUGUUAAGUUCUAGAAUGCUCAUUUUUCCGUUGCAACGCACGGGCACUUAACUAGCAAGAAUGAUUUGUGAGUUGUGACAUGGCUGACAGAUCUUCAUGUAUGGUAUAGUUUUGGUCUAUUAGUGUUCAGUGCUAUUCUAUGAUUAAUAUUUGCUCCCGUUUGUUGAUCUUAUUGUUGGAUUUUGCACCAAGAUUUUGGUGUCAACAGGUCUCAGCAGAACGUUGGCUACCGACAGAUAACACAGGGCAAUUGGUCUAGAUUCUGUCAUACUUGUAUACCUUUUCUACUCCCUCUAGUCCAUAAUAGGCGCUUGGGUUUUGUACUAACUUAUUAUGGAUCGAAGAGAGUAUAAAAUAACUUCUAGCAUAGGGUCACGGACCUCGCCAAGACUGUGACGAGCCUAUGGGUCCGCUGGAUCUGAAGGAUGCGGAUUGACCCACUUCGUUUUUUGUGUGGCCUCGGUUGUGAUAUCCUCGCCCAAGCUCAAUAGAUUGAUAGAAAACCUUUGCUAACAAGGUGCAUCUUCUUUUCUGGAAUCUCGUCUCAAUAAAACAUCUCGGUUCAGCGUGCUUAGCUUGAAGCAAUAUUGGUUUGGCGACCUUGUGGGGCCAGUCUAGAGCAUAGAGAGCUACGAGGAAUAACUACUUGGUUGGGUGAGUUGACCGACGGAGCAGGAACCUCCGUCCAUAUAUGAGGCACUCUUGCAUUACUAGAUUCUCAAUUUAAUUAAUUAAAUAUGUAUGUUUUUUAACAAAAAAAAACACCAUUAGUCCUUAUCAAAAGAACUUUCUAAUGAUUUUUUUAUUAUUUAGUUUAUAUUUAUUUAGCUAAAUUGACAAUCUAGUGAUGCGUGUGUGCCUCAUAUUAUGGGACGGAGGGAGUAAGCUCCUUAUUAACAGACUUCUGGUUAUGUUCCAGAUCUUGUUGCUGGCUCCUCUUACGGAGUUAUGGCAUCAAACUCUCGAAGCUGAAUUGGAAAUCAUGGGCUCCUAGUGGGUGAAGUUUUUCAUUUAUCUCUCUUGUUAGAACAUUGUUGGAUGACUGAGAGGGUGCCAAGAUGUCUGCGGCAACACGCCUUGAGGUGCUUGUUGUGCGACCAAUCAUUACAUCAUGGAUAGGGGCGGAGCCAUGAAAAAUUUGUAUGGGGACCAAGGUACAAAAAUACAUAGCUUAUAGUAUAAAAAACAUGUUGGUCCUGUGGCUCGGUCAUUUACCAUGGAUCAUUUCCUUACCAGAUACGCGCACCCUCUACGUGAUGUGUUGUUAUCGAUCUGAUCCGUUGCUGGUCCCUCUGUAGCGAAGACGUGUUUGUUAAAUGGUGGCACUUGAUUGUGCGGUACUUCUUGAGUGCCUCACGAAAGGUCACCUCGUCGAUCAUUUUGCUCAUGGCGUGGUGGAUCCAUAAGUACCGUCACGCAAUCGUCUUCGACAAUAUUUGACCCGACUUGAAUUGAGGCUAGUUAUAGCGUGAUUUCAUAAAAUUUCAAACUGAAUUCUUAUACCUAAUUCUGUGCCAAACAAGUUCAUUCUAAAAUCGUAUGAAAAUUUGAGAAUUAUAGAUCGAAAUGGCAGAUGCGAGUUUUUUUUUUUUAAACUUAGAUGCGAGUUGUCUGGCUGUCUUUUUUGCACAUGGGCCAGACAGAGCUAAUUUAUUUUCCUUGACACGCCCUCUCUCUUCUGCCCAUCUCGGUGCCGAGCGCCCCAGCCCCCUCGCUCCGUCGGUCGUCUUCCUCCUCGAGCGCCGCCACCCCUUCCUCUCCAUCCCGCUGCCGAGCGGCCCCAGCCCGUCUUCCUCCUCGCGCGGGCGUGUCCACCGCAGGUUGAUCUCCCCUUCGAUUCUUCCGCUCCCGGCCGUUUCUCCUCCCAUCACCCCACGAACGGAUCCCGCACCUUUAGCUCCCCGUUUCAUCUCCUUAAUCUUCCCCCAAUUCGUAACUGAGGGGAAAAUCAAGGUAGGGCGGGGCCGCCCUACUGGGUCCUCCGCCCGUGACGUCUGUUCCAGUACUAUUGUGUUACAUCGAGUGUAAUUUUGCCUGGUUAUUUGACCUGGAUUGUUGGAUUGUUGGAUUGAAUAGUAGUACUUCACAGCCGUGUUUUCUAGCAAGGUCAACAUCUCCUUUCCUGUUACUGAGCGUGCAAUCUGGGUUAUCGUAAAUUUCCGUAAGUGGAGAUAUUUGAAUAGUUCAGUUUGGCUUUGUUACUUAUGUACUGGAAAACCUCGUGCGUGCCAACAAACUAAUUCAAAACAUGUAUGUGAUAUACAAACUCUUUCUUCGCGGUAUAUGCAAUAUUGCAGUUUUUUUCAUGGGGUUUGUGUGGUACGUCAUAAAUCUUAAGUGACUGGACUUGUUAUGUACUUAUGUCAUUUAGCAUUUUUGUUUUACCAGAGUGUGGUAAAUCAUCAGUGCUGUAUUUAUACUUUCUGGAUUCAUUGACAUUGAGUACCUGGAAGUCUUGGGAGCAAUUUAUGGCAUUUAUAUAGUAGUACAUGUUGAUCUUCAUUCAUUCAGUCCUCUGAACUGUUAAGAACAAUGGCCUUGUCCAAAAGAUUCCCACCUUUUCAGUUUCAAUGUGUCCCACUCUUAGUACCCGACCGGCCUACUAUCUUGGUGUAAGAUAUACCAAACCAAUGUUAAGUUCAACGUUAGGACUUAGAACAUACUUCUGAGACCUGUUAAAGAACUGGGCCUGUAAACUUGGCAUCUGGUUCUUUUUUCCACACACAAAAAAUAAACAAUUGAGAUACCCAUGAAUGGUUUGUGCACUAUCCAUCUCUCCCUUUUUCAAAAGAUAAAUUUUGUGCAUGUCCUUUACAUUGGUUCCCUAGUACUCCCUCCGUUUCAUAUUAAAUGACUCAAAUUUGUCCAAAUAUGGAUGUAUCUAUGCCUAAAAAGCGUCUAGAUACAUGUAAUAGAAAGUCACUUAAUAUGGGACGGAGGGAGUAGUUACUUAUGCUAACAUGUUCAUCAUAACUGCUACAUUAUGGUUCAAAUGUGAAUAUAUUUUCCAGAAUAUGUUUCAGAUUUCCUCUCCAAUUUAUGUAUGUACUGCUGUGUAUGUAUGCUAAAUAUUUGGUGGCUUUGAGAUUAGUUAGCUGAUAAGAAAUUGAUCUCCUUGUAGCUUGUUUGGGCAUCUGUUCGUGCAGUAUGUCGGGGAAGCCAUCUGAUGAUAUGGCUGGUCAAGUGAGGCCUGAAGGAGAUGUUUCAGACGUGAAAGUAGAAACUGCCAACCAGAAUAAAGGAACUGAUAUGCCUUCACCACAGGAAGAGGUAUCAUCUUUUGUUAACAAUCGUAACGUUUAUUUAUCCUUUAGCAUUUAUGUAUACUUACAUGCUAUCAUUUGUAUUAUUUUGCUAAUUUAGCUUACAUUUUAAGACUGCCAAUAUUAUAUCCAUAACCACGAUGUAACUUAACCGGAUACUUGCAGGAGGCAGCAAUCAAGAAAAAAUAUGGUGGAGUACUGCCCAAAAAGUCACCACUUAUAUCCAAGGUAUCAAUGGCUUAGUAUAUUACUACGUUCUGCCAUAUAUACAAUUUCAUCAUCUGUUUAUAAAGCAGUAAGGGAAGUUAAAUUAUUUUUAGCUCCAUAUCCAUAUAAUUUCAUCUGCAUUAUGUCUAUCAGGAUCAUGAGCGAGCUUAUUUUGAUUCUGCUGAUUGGGCUCUGGGCAAGGUAUCGUACUGUUAUUUUGAAAAGCUAAAAGUAAAACUGAUAUUUGGAAGCAAUGUUAACUCUUACACUACAAUCUUGCUCCCUUGAUCCUUGGUUUCCUGCAGCAAGGAGGACAUCCUAAACCUAAAGGACCACUUGAAGCACUUCGACCAAAAUUACAGGUACUGACUGAAACUCUCCCUCAUUGCUUGGUACUCAUGAGAAUGUACUUGCCUUGUAUUUUGCUACCGUAGAGACUUAAUUUUUCUAUGGCAUUAGCUGCUAGCUGUUUGAUUAGGGUAUUUGGUGUUUUUUCAUUCUAAUAAUCAAUAGAGUUCAUGUCCAUAUUUUUUCUGUUGUUUGGCCCAGUAUUUAAACUGGAUUGAGUUUAAAUGAAAAGUCCCCUUCAUUGUUGUCUUUUUUUUUUUUGCUUAAGAGGCUCAUUUGUAGGCGAAUGUAGUGAUAGUUAUGAAGUUAACUUAUGCUAUACCAUACUCAUUUGUUGGCUUACAUCUUUAUCAAUUUUGUUACAGCCUACUCAACAGCAAGCCCGUUCACGUCGAUUUCUUCAUGCAUCUGCUGACAAUGAAGGUACUUGAUGUUACAAGAUGUCAAGCAAGAAAUCCUAAAUGUUUAUUUUGUCAUCGAUUCAAGCGUCACUUUUGCCUUGCAGAGGGGGGCAAUUCACCCACUGAGGCUACGAGCCAGAACCAGGAUUCCACCGAGGGCAAGGACGAGAGCAAGGAAUGAGUACAUGACGAGUAGCUCCAUGUUUUUUCCCAAACUGAACCAUGCCGUUUGAUAAGCCCGCGCCAUUUUGUGGCUGUAGUAAUAAGUACUCUAAUGCCCCUUAAUGCUCGCUGAAUUUUGAACCGCAUUGGAGACAUGCCGCGUCUACUGCGUUCUGCUGUUCCAUGUCUUGUACCUGUAACGAUUUGUGAUGGAAUUUGGAACAUUUUCGUGGCACUGAGUGUCUGCGCAGACAAAAUAAAAAUGUGAGCCUGUGAGAUGUUUCUUCCUUGUGCCACUACUGAUGAGUAGAACCAGAUUCCCUGAAACAAAAAAGAUGAGUAGAACCAGAUUCUUCUAACCUGCGGUGCUUGUUUCUUCUGGUGCUGCGCUGAGACGGUUCAUGUCUGAUGUUCGAAACCUGGGUGCCUGGCAAUAUCUGAACUAUUGAUGUUUUCCCGACUGCUGUAGGUUACGUAUUAUAUUUGAAUUUCAUAGGAUUUCAAGAGUUAUCAUGUAGGAGUAACUCAGUUUGGCGCUAUGGGAGUUUGUUGUCUUUGGACUCGUAGUUUUGCGAAAUUGCUGAUUUUCAAACAUGUUCCUUGACGAAUUUUCGAAACACAGUCCCAUCAUCGAAUCAAACAAAAACUGGAGCAAGCAUUGCUCUUUUAUUUUUGGAGAGGGGAUCAAGCAUUGCUAAUCGCCACCAAUCUGGAUGAAUCUCUGGAGUUUGACACGCCCUGGUCAAGCAUGUUGAGGAACCAACGACGGGGUGGGGUGGCCACCGAGUCGUGCACCCCCACCAAUCCCCCUGUUGACUCAUUUCUCCAUCUAAUAGUUUGUUGUGGACUCUUAUUCAUUGAGCCUAUAUAAAGAAGAGGAGGCUACCCCUCGUACGUACACUUGAGAUCAGAAAUUAAUAAAGAGCUCAUGUUCCUCUCUACUUGGUGUUCAUCUACUUUACUGUACUUCAUGAUUGUGCGUGUUUGAUUAGGAUCUUGGUGUGCAACCUCAGGACCGGUCAG